This 325-nucleotide ribosomal RNA is filed under the name uncultured eukaryote. RNAcentral's name for it is "partial 18S ribosomal RNA". It matches the Rfam family "Eukaryotic small subunit ribosomal RNA", at positions 1470 to 1796 of the family's 1831-position model. The record is from RNAcentral.
CCCUUAGAUGUUCUGGGCCGCACGCGCGCUACACUGAACAGUUCAACAAGUCUUAACCUUGGCCGAUAGGUCUGGGUAAUCUUUGAACGCUGUUCGUGAUUGGGAUAGACCUUUGCAAUUAUGGGUCUUCAACGAGGAAUUCCUAGUAAACGCAAGUCAUCAGCUUGCAUUGAUUACGUCCCUGCCCUUUGUACACACCGCCCGUCGCACCUACCGAUUGAAUGGUCCGGUGAAUAAUUCGGACUGCAGCAGUGCUUGGUCCUCCGGGCUUUGCAGCGGAAAGUUUAGUGAACCUUAUCACUUAGAGGAAGGAGAAGUCGUNACA